RNAcentral lists this ribosomal RNA (492 nucleotides) under uncultured bacterium. RNAcentral's name for it is "partial 16S ribosomal RNA". It matches the Rfam family "Bacterial small subunit ribosomal RNA", at positions 29 to 507 of the family's 1533-position model. The record is from RNAcentral.
AGUGAACGCUGGCGGUAGGCCUAACACAUGCAAGUCGAACGGCAGCACAGUAAGAGCUUGCUCUUACGGGUGGCGAGUGGCGGACGGGUGAGGAAUACAUCGGAAUCUACUUUUUCGUGGGGGAUAACGUAGGAAAACUUACGCUAAUACCGCAUACGACCUACGGGUGAAAGCAGGGGAGCUUCGGACCUUGCGCGAUUGAAUGAGCCGAUGUCGGGUUAGCUAGAUGGCGGGGUAAAGGCCGACCAAGGCGACGAUCCGAAGCUGAUCUGAGAGGAUGCUAAGCCACACUGGAAUUGAGACACUGUCCAGCCUACUACGAGAGGAACUCGUGGGGAAUAUUGGACAAUGGGCGCGAACCUGAUCCAACAAUACCGCGUGGGUGAAGAAGGCCUUCGGGUUGUAAAGCCCUUUUGUUGGGAAAGAAAAGCAGCAGGUUAAUACCCCGCUGUUCUGACGGUACCCAAAGAAUCAGCACCGGCUAACUUCGUG